RNAcentral lists this ribosomal RNA (468 nucleotides) under uncultured bacterium. RNAcentral's name for it is "partial 16S ribosomal RNA". It matches the Rfam family "Bacterial small subunit ribosomal RNA", at positions 28 to 506 of the family's 1533-position model. The record is from RNAcentral.
AACGAACGUUGGCGGCGUGGAUUAGGCAUGCAAGUCGAACGCGAAUCCCUGGGCAACUGGGGAGGAGAGUGGCGAAAGGGGCAGUAAGGCGUGGGUAACCUACCCUCCGGGCCGGGAUAGCUUCGGGAAACUGAAGGUAAUACCGGGCGACGCAGCGAGAUCGCAUGGUCUUGCUGCCAAAGGUCCGCCGCCGGGGGAGGGGCUCACGUGGUAUUAGCUAGACGGCGGGGUAACGGCCCACCGUGGCAAAGAUGCCUAGCAGGGGUGAGAGCACGACCUGCGCCACUGGCACUGAGACACUGGCCAGACACCUACGGGUGGCUGCAGUCGAGGAUCUUCGGCAAUGGGCGCAAGCCUGACCGAGCGACGCCGCGUGUGCGAUGAAGGCCUUCGGGUUGUAAAGCACUGUCGAGGGGGAGGAAGCCGCAAGGUUGACCUAUCCCUGGAGGAAGCACGGGCUAAGUGCGU